RNAcentral lists this ribosomal RNA (1285 nucleotides) under metagenome. RNAcentral describes it as "bacterial SSU rRNA". It matches the Rfam family "Bacterial small subunit ribosomal RNA", at positions 244 to 1520 of the family's 1533-position model. The record is from RNAcentral.
GCUAGUUGGUGAGGUAAAGGCUUACCAAGGCGACGAUCUGUAGCGGGUCUGAGAGGAUGAUCCGCCACACUGGAACUGAGACACGGUCCAGACUCCUACGGGAGGCAGCAGUGGGGAAUUUUGGACAAUGGGGGCAACCCUGAUCCAGCCAUGCCGCGUGAGUGAAGAAGGCCUUCGGGUUGUAAAGCUCUUUCGGCCGGGAAGAAAUCGCAUGGGCCAAUACCCUGUGUGGAUGACGGUACCGGAAUAAGAAGCACCGGCUAACUACGUGCCAGCAGCCGCGGUAAUACGUAGGGUGCGAGCGUUAAUCGGAAUUACUGGGCGUAAAGCGUGCGCAGGCGGUUUUGUAAGACAGGCGUGAAAUCCCCGGGCUUAACCUGGGAACUGCGUUUGUGACUGCAAGGCUAGAGUACGGCAGAGGGGGGUGGAAUUCCACGUGUAGCAGUGAAAUGCGUAGAGAUGUGGAGGAACACCAAUGGCGAAGGCAGCCCCCUGGGUCGAUACUGACGCUCAUGCACGAAAGCGUGGGUAGCAAACAGGAUUAGAUACCCUGGUAGUCCACGCCCUAAACUAUGUCAACUAGGUGUUGGGUGGGUAAAACCAUUUAGUACCGUAGCUAACGCGUGAAGUUGACCGCCUGGGGAGUACGGCCGCAAGGUUAAAACUCAAAGGAAUUGACGGGGACCCGCACAAGCGGUGGAUGAUGUGGAUUAAUUCGAUGCAACGCGAAAAACUUUACCUACCCUUGACAUGCCAGGAACUUGCCAGAGAUGGCUUGGUGCCCGAAAGGGAGCCUGGACACAGGUGCUGCAUGGCUGUCGUCAGCUCGUGUCGUGAGAUGUUGGGUUAAGUCCCGCAACGAGCGCAACCCUUGUCGUUAAUUGCCAUCAUUUAGUUGGGCACUUUAACGAGACUGCCGGUGACAAACCGGAGGAAGGUGGGGAUGACGUCAAGUCCUCAUGGCCCUUAUGGGUAGGGCUUCACACGUCAUACAAUGGUCGGUACAAAGGGUUGCCAAGCCGCGAGGCGGAGCCAAUCCCAGAAAGCCGAUCGUAGUCCGGAUUGCAGGCUGCAACUCGCCUGCAUGAAGUCGGAAUCGCUAGUAAUCGUGGAUCAGCAUGUCACGGUGAAUACGUUCCCGGGUCUUGUACACACCGCCCGUCACACCAUGGGAGCGGGUUCCGCCAGAAGUAGGUAGCCUAACCGCAAGGGGGGCGCUUACCACGGCGGGGUUCGUGACUGGGGUGAAGUCGGAACAAGGUAGCCGUAGGGGAACCUGCGGCUG